CCCGCGGUAGCUCAGCUUGGUAGAGCUUCCGACCUGGGCUCCAAAAAACUGAGAGCCGAGGGGAGAUGCUGUAGAGAUCUUUGGCUCCUCAAAGUAGGCGCUGAUCCCAACCCAGCCUAUCAGGCUAACAGAAACCGGACUGUCGUCGGUUCAAAUCCGACCCGCGGGA
Molecule: transfer RNA, 169 nt
Filed under: Nitrososphaerota archaeon
Lineage: Archaea; Thermoproteati; Nitrososphaerota
Description: Thaumarchaeota archaeon tRNA-OTHER
Rfam family: tRNA
About the family: Transfer RNA (tRNA) molecules are approximately 80 nucleotides in length.
Source: RNAcentral